GACGAACGCUGGCGGCGUGCUUAACACAUGCAAGUCGAACGGAAAGGCCCCUUUGGGGGUCCUCGAGUGGCGAACGGGUGAGUAACACGUGAGUAACCUGCCCUUGACUUCGGGAUAACUUCAGGAAACUGGGGCUAAUACCGGAUAGGAAUCCUUGCUGCAUGGUGGGGGUUGGAAAGCUUCGGCGGUUUUGGAUGGACUCGCGGCUUAUCAGCUUGUUGGUGGGGUAGUGGCUUACCAAGGCUUUGACGGGUAGCCGGCCUGAGAGGGCGACCGGCCACUUUGGGCCUGGGAUACGGCCCAGCCCCCUACGGGGGGCAGCAGUGGGGAAUAUUGCACAAUGGGCGGAAGCCUGAUGCAGCAACGCCGCGUGCGGAAUGCCGGCUUUCGGUUUUUAACCCGCUUCCAGCAGGGCCGAACCUUGUGGGGCCGUAACCGGCAGAGGAGGACCCGCCAACCUCCUU
Molecule: ribosomal RNA, 464 nt
Filed under: uncultured bacterium
Lineage: Bacteria
Description: partial 16S ribosomal RNA
Rfam family: Bacterial small subunit ribosomal RNA
Source: RNAcentral